ACCGUGUCGGGCGAUGUCGGCUAUACGUUUGCCGAGCUGCUGUUUUCGCCGCGGCUGGGUCUCAAGGCCGAUGCCAUCAGCGGCGACAAGAACCUGAAGGACGGCACACUGGGCACCUUNNNNCGAAGCUGCCCUAUUUCUCCGAAGCGAAUCUGGUCGCGCCGAUGAAUCUGCUCGAUCUCCAGCCCAAUGUAACGCUCGCAAUCACGCCGAAGGUCAGUUUGAACGUCGGCUGGAA
RNAcentral lists this unclassified non-coding RNA (238 nucleotides) under Hevea brasiliensis (rubber tree). Lineage: Eukaryota; Viridiplantae; Streptophyta; Magnoliopsida; Malpighiales; Euphorbiaceae. The record is from RNAcentral.